UCGUUAGCUCAGUUGGUAGAGCAGCGGACUUUUAAUCCGUUGGUCGCGUGUUCGAGUCACGCA
RNAcentral lists this transfer RNA (63 nucleotides) under Oxalobacter formigenes. It matches the Rfam family "tRNA", at positions 7 to 64 of the family's 71-position model. Rfam says of the family: Transfer RNA (tRNA) molecules are approximately 80 nucleotides in length. Lineage: Bacteria; Pseudomonadati; Pseudomonadota; Betaproteobacteria; Burkholderiales; Oxalobacteraceae. The record is from RNAcentral. RNAcentral also lists the same sequence under 1 other name.